CAUUACAAUAACAAUGUGUAAAGGGUUAAUCGGCAUUGAACAAAACAUGCAAAGUAACGUUGAAAACAACACACUUAAAAUAAUAAGAACGUGCGUUGAUUUAGAUCAUUGAACUCAUCAUUUUCCCAUACGGUAACUCAUUCGCGGUCCGUUCGUCUUUUCGCACUGCUAUAGUAUCACUCUUUUGGACUUAUAGUUCUUUUCUAGAUGAACUCGGGA
Cinara cedri is the source of this 219-nucleotide non-coding RNA. Lineage: Eukaryota; Metazoa; Arthropoda; Insecta; Hemiptera; Aphididae. The record is from the annotation of a GenBank genome assembly.